GUAGGGGGCAUGGUCCCUCCCAGCACAAGAUUGGUCCAAUUCAAGUCCAAUCCUACACCAGGAAGUAGGAAGGAGGGACCAUUGGGGCAAGACUACAGUUCCCCGGCCACACUAUUUUAAAACCCACACAAGGCAGAAAUAUGGCUGUCGAUGACUAAGGACACAAGGAGAGGGGAGAUGAUUAUCAGAACCCCAGCAGGAAGGUCAGCUACAUGAUCAAUAAUGAUUGGACUUCAGCAGAUAGUUAUUCUAAAUAAGAGGCAUCUCUGCUAAUCAGAGACCUUGGAAGUCAUUGACCGGGGCAAACUGACUGAUCACUGAAGAUCUGGGUCACAGCUGAUCUCUAUGAAAAUUACUUACUCAUAGCCCUUUUGGUUUUAAAUGAGAAUGGAGUUGCAUGUUCAGUUCUCAUAGAAAUAAAUAUACUUCAAUCUCCUGUGUAA
This is a long non-coding RNA of Monodelphis domestica (gray short-tailed opossum), 443 nucleotides long. RefSeq lists it as uncharacterized. NCBI's taxonomy places the organism in Eukaryota, Metazoa, Chordata, Mammalia, Didelphimorphia, Didelphidae. The record is from RefSeq and is a predicted model, not a curated record.